CUCCCAGUAGGGAGGGGAAAUUCCUGGGAUGGGUUACCUUGGCAACAGAUUGGAGCAGGGGCAGGUUCUUCGUAAGAUCCCUCAGGGGACAGUCUCCAACUUCCCAGACUCACUCAAAAUUGGCCUCCUUGACCGGACCUGGACCUGACUCUAUUUACCUGUCUACACAGACUGCCUGUCUAAUUCUGGCGUCAAUGGGAAGGAGCAGGGUUUGGCUUCCCCAUCCUAGGGAGUGACAGUCACCUGCAUCCCCUGCUCCCUGGGGAUGAAUACUUCCUUUUUUUUUGGUAGCAGGGAUUGAACCCAGGGGUGCUUAACCACUGAGCCACUACCCAGUCCUUUUUUAUAUUGAGACAGUCUAAGUUGCUUAGAGCUUUGCUAUAAGUUGCUGUGGCUGGGCUUCGAACCUGGGAUCCUCCUGCUUCAGGCAUCUGAGCAUCCUGCCUGGCUGCUCAGAUUCUAACAAUGAAUCUCUCUGGUUCUUUGUCAUUUAUUUAUUUGGUGCUUGCGGAUUUGAACCCAGGGCCUAAUGCACGCCAGGCAAGCACUUUACCACUGAGCCACAUUCCCAGGCCCCUUUGCCAUAUUUUUUAUUUUUUAAAAUUU
RNAcentral lists this long non-coding RNA (606 nucleotides) under Marmota monax (woodchuck). The record is from RNAcentral. Lineage: Eukaryota; Metazoa; Chordata; Mammalia; Rodentia; Sciuridae.